GCAAGUCGAGCGGACCGACGGGAGCUUGCUCCCUUAGGUCAGCGGCGGACGGGUGAGUAACACGUGGGUAACCUGCCUGUAAGACUGGGAUAACUCCGGGAAACCGGGGCUAAUACCGGAUGCUUGAUUGAACCGCAUGGUUCAAUCAUAAAAGGUGGCUUUUAGCUACCACUURCAGAUGGACCCGCGGCGCAUUAGCUAGUUGGUGAGGUAACGGCUCACCAAGGCGACGAUGCGUAGCCGACCUGAGAGGGUGAUCGGCCACACUGGGACUGAGACACGGCCCAGACUCCUACGGGAGGCAGCAGUAGGGAAUCUUCCGCAAUGGACGAAAGUCUGACGGAGCAACGCCGCGUGAGUGAUGAAGGUUUUCGGAUCGUAAAACUCUGUUGUUAGGGAAGAACAAGUACCGUUCGAAUAGGGCGGCACCUUGACGGUACCUAACCAGAAAGCCACGGCUAACUACGUGCCAGCAGCCGCGGUAAUACGUAGGUGGCAAGCGUUGUCCGGAAUUAUUGGGCGUAAAGCGCGCGCAGGCGGUUUCUUAAGUCUGAUGUGAAAGCCCCCGGCUCAACCGGGGAGGGUCAUUGGAAACUGGGGAACUUGAGUGCAGAAGAGGAGAGUGGAAUUCCACGUGUAGCGGUGAAAUGCGUAGAGAUGUGGAGGAACACCAGUGGCGAAGGCGACUCUCUGGUCUGUAACUGACGCUGAGGCGCGAAAGCGUGGGGAGCGAACAGGAUUAGAUACCCUGGUAGUCCACGCCGUAAACGAUGAGUGCUAAGUGUUAGAGGGUUUCCGCCCUUUAGUGCUGCAGCAAACGCAUUAAGCACUCCGCCUGGGGAGUACGGUCGCAAGACUGAAACUCAAAGGAAUUGACGGGGGCCCGCACAAGCGGUGGAGCAUGUGGUUUAAUUCGAAGCAACGCGAAGAACCUUACCAGGUCUUGACAUCCUCUGACAACCCUAGAGAUAGGGCUUCCCCUUCSGGGGCAGAGUGACAGGUGGUGCAUGGUUGUCGUCAGCUCGUGUCGUGAGAUGUUGGGUUAAGUCCCGCAACGRGCCCAACCCUUGAUCUUAGUUGCCAGCAUUCAGUUGGGCACUCUAAGGUGACUGCCGGUGACAAACCGGARGAAGGUGGGGAUGACGUCAAAUCAUCAUGCCCCUU
RNAcentral lists this ribosomal RNA (1164 nucleotides) under Bacillus sp. (in: firmicutes). Its description in RNAcentral is "bacterial SSU rRNA". The record is from RNAcentral. Lineage: Bacteria; Bacillati; Bacillota; Bacilli; Caryophanales; Bacillaceae.